This 440-nucleotide ribosomal RNA is filed under the name uncultured bacterium. RNAcentral describes it as "partial 16S ribosomal RNA". It matches the Rfam family "Bacterial small subunit ribosomal RNA", at positions 338 to 795 of the family's 1533-position model. The record is from RNAcentral.
CCUACGGGUGACAGCAGUGGGGAAUAUUGCACAAUGGGGGAAACCCUGAUGCAGCGACGCCGCGUGAGUGAAGAAGUAAUUCGUUAUGUAAAGCUCUAUCAGCAGGGAAGAAAAUGACGGUACCUGAGUAAGAAGCCCCGGCUAACUACGUGCCAGCAGCCGCGGUAAUACGUAGGGGGCAAGCGUUAUCCGGAUUUACUGGGUGUAAAGGGAGCGUAGACGGGAGUGCAAGUCUGGAGUGAAAGGCGGGGGCUCAACCCCCGGACUGCACUGGAAACUGUACGGCUGGAGUACAGGCGAGGUAAGUGGAAUUCCUGGUGUAGCGGUGAAAUGCGUAGAUAUUAGGAAGAACACCAGUGGCGAAGGCGGCUUACUAAACUGUAACUGACGUUGAGGCUCGAAAGCGUGGGGAGCAAACAGGAUUAGAUACCCGUGUAGUC